This 201-nucleotide long non-coding RNA is filed under the name Capra hircus (goat). Its description in RNAcentral is "lncRNA (ENSCHIG00010004116.1)". The record is from RNAcentral. Lineage: Eukaryota; Metazoa; Chordata; Mammalia; Artiodactyla; Bovidae.
AGGCUCACCAAUGCGAGGAUGACCCAUCACAUGAAAAUCAGGAAUAAGAUGACCUCAGAAAGACUUCUGAAUUCUAGAUAGACACAGGACCCCUGCUUCCCUGAAUAUCCAGGAAGAUCCAAGGCAAGAAAGAACCGAGGAUGACUCAGCCUGGGAUGAAACUGUUGGAGUCUGGUUAGACGUGAGAACUGGAAUAUUUCC